This 405-nucleotide ribosomal RNA is filed under the name bacterium. RNAcentral's name for it is "partial 16S ribosomal RNA". It matches the Rfam family "Bacterial small subunit ribosomal RNA", at positions 355 to 776 of the family's 1533-position model. The record is from RNAcentral.
UAAGGAAUAUUGCGCAAUGGGGGAAACCCUGACGCAGCAACGCCGCGUGGAGGAUGACACUUUUCGGAGCGUAAACUCCUUUUAUCAGGAAAGAAUAAUGACGGUACCUGAUGAAUAAGCACCGGCUAACUCCGUGCCAGCAGCCGCGGUAAUACGGGGGGUGCAAGCGUUACUCGGAAUCACUGGGCGUAAAGGACGCGUAGGCGGAUUAUCAAGUCUUUUGUGAAAUCUAGUGGCUUAACCACUAAACUGCUUAGGAAACUGAUAGGCUAGAGUAGGGGAGAGGUAGAUGGAAUUCUUGGUGUAGGGGUAAAAUCCGUAGAGAUCAAGAAGAAUACCCAUUGCGAAAGCGAUCUGCUGGAACCUAACUGACGCUGAGGCGUGAAAGCGUGGGUAGCAAACAGG